RNAcentral lists this microRNA precursor (97 nucleotides) under Pelobates cultripes (western spadefoot toad). Lineage: Eukaryota; Metazoa; Chordata; Amphibia; Anura; Pelobatidae. The record is from RNAcentral.
UGGCACUCCAGAUGUUUGGACUACACCUCCCAUGAUGCUUUGCAUUAUGGGUGUAAAAGCAUUGUGGGGGAUGUAGUACACAACAUCUGGAGUGCCG